CUUUAAAUUAGUAUUACUUCAGUAACUGUUGCUUUUGGAAACGUUGAGUCUUUACUGUUUGAAGUGAAUCUGGAGUCCUAAACAGAGGAAUGACCCACUGCAGUGACAAUGACGAGCAGAGUGAUGACGGAGCAGAAAAACCCAACAAGAGCCAGAAGAAGAGAAGUAAAGGAGAAAAGCAUGUGUCUUUCCCUCCCGAUGGGCAGAUGGUGUCCGGCUUUGCUGAGCACAGGGACACUGACAGAAAGGUUGACAGCUGCCUCACCUUGACAGAGGUAAUGGUGGCGUACCAGCAGAGCUGCAGCAGACACCAGGUCCAACCCAGAGAGCACAUCCUGCAGCAGCUCCAGGUACACAGCUUCACACUUCACUCUGAGUCUUUGCACAUGUCAGUCAAACAGCAUGGGCACGUCUUUUUGUUGGAUUUACUGUUGAAGGUUGAGUUUCUGUGGGUGGUUCUGUUUUCAGUGUUUAUCACUGCUCAUUGCAGUGCACUAAGGUACUGUAUAAUUGGGCCAAACUGUGUAUCCCUGAGGAAGUACAUUGUGUUUGUGUGUGUGUGUGUGUGUGUGUGUGUGUGUGUGUGUGUUUGUUGCCACCGUCUUUCCCACCCCAGUUUCCAUGAUCUUUGUUAUCAACCUGAACUCAUAACCUUUACCAGUUUUUUAAAUAAAAAGUAUUAUUCAGUGACAACAGAUCUUCGUGCUGCAGGUCUAAAGUCCAACAGAGAACAGAAACCUGCAAGUCAAAUAUUGCCUUAAAUUACAUGCAACCCUGUUCUUCUAUGCAACAUCAGCAACUCUGCUCAUACAAUAAGUGUUCCAUGCAGUGAUAUUACAGCCAUCCAGAAAGGAUCAAUAACAACAAUAUAACCUGGUGCAAUUCAAGCCUCAUACGCUGUCAGAGCGUAUCCCACUGCAGACUCCAGCUUUUAUUAAAUCAUAGCCACCUUCAUGUAACAGCACAAGCUCACAGACACACAUACAUAUAGCUUUUAGAGCAACAACACAUUCUGUAUGUGUGCACACUGUGACACAGUGAGUGUGUGUGUAUACACAUACACACACGCAUACUAAAAUCUCUAAUAAAUAAAUUGAAUCAUUUUGUUCCAUCAGCCUCAAUCAGGGUUAUUGCUGCAGGGCGCUAACAGCAUCUCCUCUCCAAACAAGAGGAUAAGAGCAGGUUAACUGGGUGAAUGCAAAUAAGAACACAUGCAGAAUGAUGUACGACACUUUGUGUAAGUUAAUAUUGAGCAAGAGGCGAUUAUUGAUUUGAUAAUCUAUUUUCUUUCUCUCCGUGAUUCAUCCUUGUACUACUUGUUUGUCGUUCAUGUUCCACGAACACAUUUACUGUGUGUAUUUAGGCUGCGUCACAUCAAAAUGUUUGUUUACAUAGAAGCGACUGAAUUAUUUUGUAAGAGUUUUUAAUUAAAGGUACCCUUUGUAUCCCUAAGCUCUAACAAACAUGAUGAAUGUAUUUCUUUCUUUUCAAACAUUUGCAAUAUAUUUUUACAUUUAAGUUUGCAUUGUUAUUAUUUAUGAGCGAAUAUUCUUUUCUGCUUAGAAAGGUUCCUAACUGAGUGAAAUGACCCG
Molecule: long non-coding RNA, 1592 nt
Organism: Cottoperca gobio
Lineage: Eukaryota; Metazoa; Chordata; Actinopteri; Perciformes; Bovichtidae
Source: Ensembl